This is a long non-coding RNA of Erigeron canadensis, 1298 nucleotides long. RefSeq lists it as uncharacterized. The record is from RefSeq and is a predicted model, not a curated record. NCBI's taxonomy places the organism in Eukaryota, Viridiplantae, Streptophyta, Magnoliopsida, Asterales, Asteraceae. The transcript has 8 exons.
AACUCAUGUCUUUUCUGAAACACAAGAAUUAACUCAAACACAUCUAUAUCUAUAUAUAAUUAUAUAUAUCUACACCAAAAGUUUAAAUCGCAAUUUCUCAUUAUGAAUCUCUCAUGAAUCUUUCGGUUUAUUAAACCCUAGAUCUCCGUAAAAUCACAUUUUUCUGCAGAGGAGUGCACUUUGGUGAUGAAUUAAUCGACUUCUACGUAGCCUCGAGCAACUUUGUAAGUUGUUCCGCAAUUGCUUGAUAUCGAGUGGACGAACUGGCAUCAUGACAUCAAAGGAAGAAGAUGUUCCCGUGGAAGUGGAGGAUACUAAUUCGGCAUUGAUAGUGGUACAGUACAGGGAUAUGGCCAACUGGUGAAACAAAUGACCAACUUGCGAGUCAUGCCAGACGUCUUAAAAGUCUACAGAUUCAUUGGUAGGAUCUUUGAACCUAAUGAAAGUGAGUAUAUGCAGAAGUUGAAGAUGUGGAUGCAUUAGUUGUUGAGACGGCCCGGGUAAGAAAGUCAAGCCUAUGCAAGUUUGUAAGGUACAUGGUUCUCAUUGUCGUGUUAUUUCCAACUAGCAGACCGGGUAAGAAAGUCAAGCCUAUGCAAGUUUGUAAAGUACAUGGUUCUCAUUGUCGUGUUAUUUCCAACUAGCAGACCGGAUCCUGAUCUUAAUAAAAAACUUUGUCCCAUUAAUAAUAGUAAGAAUUUGUUUGGUCCAUUGCUAAAGCUUUAAUUGGGAUUUUUGCUGCAGUUUCUUUAGAUUCUCUGGCUUUGGCCGAGUCUCGGACUUAUGAGGUCUUUGUUACAUCAUCUUUCCUUGAAGAUCCUAAGAACCAAAACAGCUGGCAUUAUCAAUUGUCCUCGGCAUUUCAUAGAGACAAAGUAAAAGAAUUGCUUAGUCCAGUGGUUUGAUUAAGUUUUCUAGGGGACAUCACACAUGUAUUCAGUGAAUGCUUCACAAAAGGCAUCCAAUUAAUAUUAUAUGAGGUUUGCAUACAUGUUUGUCAUUCAUUAUUUUGACCAUUUAAUCUUACGCUUUUGAAUAUAUUUUAGUAUAUGAAAAGUUCAUGAACUUUAUAAACUUUUUAGUUUGCAGGGAUCUUUAGCAAGUUCGAGAAGAUUACAUCGCAACUCAAAGAUUUAGUAGUUGCAAUGUGGAUUAAUAUCACUUGAAACUUAGUUUGUUUAUAGCUCAUAGAAUUCAUGAAUUGUUAAUCAUUCUGUACUGGUGACUACUACUAGUUUGUAUAUAAAUGUGAAUCUUAUCUUUAUUAUUUUCUUGCAAAUAAACAAGAUGUUUCUUAA